This 1702-nucleotide ribosomal RNA is filed under the name human gut metagenome. RNAcentral's name for it is "bacterial LSU rRNA". It matches the Rfam family "Bacterial large subunit ribosomal RNA", at positions 1099 to 2820 of the family's 2925-position model. The record is from RNAcentral.
GGUUGGCUCAGAAGCAGCCAUCCUUUAAAGAGUGCGUAACAGCUCACUAGUCGAAUGACUCUGCGCCGAUAAUUUACCGGGGCUAAGCAUACUACCGAAGCUAUGGAUCCCAAGGGAUGGUAGGGGAGCGUUCCAUGAACGGAGAAGCGCGAUCGAGAGGACGCGUGGAGAUCAUGGAAGAGAGAAUGCCGGUGUGAGUAGCGGAACGUGGGUGAGAAUCCCACGCACCGAAAACCCAAGGUUUCCAGAGGAAGGUUCGUCCGCUCUGGGUAAGUCGGGACCUAAGGCGAGGCCGAGAGGCGUAGUCGAUGGACAACAGGUAGAGAUUCCUGUACUCAUAUAUAUGUGAAGGAAUGACGGAGAGAGGAAGCUGCAGCCAGCGGCUGGAAGAGCUGGUGCAAGCGAGAUAUCGGGAUGGCAGGCAAAUCCACCAUCCGAAACGAGAAGGCGUGAAGCGUACGGAAAGCUAAGGCGAGUACGGAAGGCAGUGGAGGAGCUUCCAAGAAAAGUUUCUAACGAAAGUAUAUGUGACCCGUACCGAAAAUGGACACACAUGGGUGAGGAGAGAAUCCUAAGGUGAGCGAGAGAACUAUAGCUAAGGAACUCUGCAAAAUGACUCCGUAACUUAGGGAGAAGGAGUGCUCAUAGAGAUAUGAGCCGCAGUGAAACGGCCCAAGCGACUGUUUACCAAAAACACAGCUCUCUGCUAAGCCGCAAGGCGAAGUAUAGGGGGUGACGCCUGCCCGGUGCUGGAAGGUUAAGGGGAGGGGUUAACGCAAGUGAAGCCCUGAACUGAAGCCCCAGUAAACGGCGGCCGUAACUAUAACGGUCCUAAGGUAGCGAAAUUCCUUGUCAGGUAAGUUCUGACCCGCACGAAAGGCGUAACGAUUUGGGCGCUGUCUCAGCUGUAGACUCGGUGAAGUCUUAGUACCUGUGAAGAUGCAGGUUACCCGCGACUAGACGGAAAGACCCCAUGGAGCUUCACUGCAGGUUGAUAUUGGGAUUUGAUGCAGCAUGUACAGGAUAGGUAGGAGGCAAAGAGAUGGAUACGCCAGUAUUCAAGGAGCCGCUGUUGGGAUACUACCCCUGUUGUAUUGGAUUUCUAACCGGACGACGUAAAGCCGUUGACGGGACAGUGUCAGUCGGGCAGUUUGACUGGGGCGGUCGCCUCCCAAAGAGUAACGGAGGCGCCCAAAGAUACCCUCAGCUUGGAUGGAAACCAAGCGCAGAGUGCAAAGGCAAAAGGGUGUUUGACUGCGAGACCUACAAGUCGAGCAGGGACGAAAGUCGGGCUUAGUGAUCCGGCGGUGCUGAAUGGAAAGGCCGUCGCUCAACGGAUAAAAGCUACCCUGGGGAUAACAGGCUGAUCUCCCCCAAGAGUUCACAUCGACGGGGAGGUUUGGCACCUCGAUGUCGGCUCAUCGCAUCCUGGAGCGGAAGUACGUUCCAAGGGUUGGGCUGUUCGCCCAUUAAAGCGGUACGCGAGCUGGGUUCAGAACGUCGUGAGACAGUUCGGUCCCUAUCUGUCGUGGGCGCAGGAAAUUUGAGAAGAGCUGUCCUCAGUACGAGAGGACCGGGAUGGACGCAUCAAUGGUGGACCAGUUGUCACGCCAGUGGCAUAGCUGGGUAGCUAAAUGCGGAAGGGAUAAACGCUGAAGGCAUCUAAGUGUGAAACCCACUUCAAGAUGAGAUUUCCCAUUGC